Long non-coding RNA from Magnolia sinica, 877 nucleotides. RefSeq lists it as uncharacterized. The transcript is spliced from 2 exons. The record is from RefSeq and is a predicted model, not a curated record. Lineage: Eukaryota; Viridiplantae; Streptophyta; Magnoliopsida; Magnoliales; Magnoliaceae.
UGCAUUCAGAUCUGUUAUUUCUUUUAUAAGAAUAUUUUAUUUUGCAGUGAUUUCAUUUUGCAGUUUAAACUUAAUACCUGACUUUUUUGAGUUCUUUGCCGAACUCACCUUGUUCCUACAUUGUUCUAAUUUUUGUGAGGGUUUUUGUUCUUUAUAUUACGAGUGAUCAAAGGUAAAGUUGAGGAUGUUGAAUUGCCUGGGAAAGUGGACAUUCUGAUUUCUGGGGCUAUAUGAUUCAGAAGGGUGUUCUCAAAUGACCAUGAUGUAACUUCUGCAGUGUUAACAAGGCCUUAAUUUCGCUGUAUACUCCUUUCCUAUCCUUGCUGUGGCGAUCUUGGGUUUCAUUUACUUGCAUCUAAAUGCCACAGAUCGAACAAGCUGGUAUGUUUCUCUGUUGCAUUAUUAACAAAAAAAAAUCAUGAUGACUGUUAAACUGCAUUUCAUCCUACUUGUGCUAAACGUGUUGGCCAGCACAUGGAUGUGAAGAUUGGUGGAGGCAAGUUUUUUCAGCACAAGGCUUAUUGUGAAAAGCAUAGCUUGGAUCAGAAAAAGAAGGUCAUAUCAAUUGCUUUUGAAGAAUGAAUAUCUUAUGAUGCAUUGUCUUUCAUAGGAUAAAAGUCUUAUGUUACAAUGCAUAAGUUUAUUUCUCCUGCCUCAUCUUGGUUUUUAUCAAUUUCUACAGGCUGAGAGUCUGCAACAUGGACCUGAUGAGGUCCGCCGCAUUAAGCACUGACGACACCGGUGAUGACGGGCGCGACUAUGACUUUGUAUUAUUUGUGGAACCUAAUGUUGUGUAACAGUUUGAUUGAGUUAAACUUUAAAUAGACUGUUGUUAACUGUUUUGUUGGUAUUGUGGCUUUCAUGAUUGAUUGUUUCA